UUCAUUGUUGCUUGAUGGGAACUGGUGCCCUCCCUUCACUUACAACAGCAACACAGCAUUCAGUGUGUUGACACAGCCUGGGCUCACUCAUCCGACCGCAGUAAGUGGGCAGGUUAGUUCUCCACACCUGCUGCAGAACAUGAUGAAUGGACCAGCGUCCACAGAGAUCUAAAUUUAGGCUUGGAAAUUCUAGUGCACCUAAAAGGAUUCACUGGACGGCCACCGCACUGGGCCUCAGACAUGGUUAAAAAAAAAAGCUAAAUGAUGAGAAAGACCAACUCUACCCUCUCCAUGUGGUCGCGAACCAGCAA
Molecule: long non-coding RNA, 311 nt
Organism: Hypanus sabinus (Atlantic stingray)
Lineage: Eukaryota; Metazoa; Chordata; Chondrichthyes; Myliobatiformes; Dasyatidae
Exons: 3
Source: RefSeq, a predicted model, not a curated record